GGCAGUUCUCGGGUGACGCACCCUGGAAUCAAGCUCCCUCCUCUCUGGUUCCGGGGUGUGCGUCACCCAAGAACUGCC
This is a non-coding RNA of Myotis lucifugus (little brown bat), 78 nucleotides long. The record is from Rfam. NCBI's taxonomy places the organism in Eukaryota, Metazoa, Chordata, Mammalia, Chiroptera, Vespertilionidae.